RNAcentral lists this ribosomal RNA (922 nucleotides) under uncultured bacterium. RNAcentral's name for it is "bacterial SSU rRNA". It matches the Rfam family "Bacterial small subunit ribosomal RNA", at positions 1 to 916 of the family's 1533-position model. The record is from RNAcentral.
CCUUAGAGUUUGAUCCUGGCUCAGGAUGAACGCUAGCUACAGGCUUAACACAUGCAAGUCGAGGGGAAACGACAUCGAAAGCUUGCUUUUGAUGGGCGUCGACCGGCGCACGGGUGAGUAACGCGUAUCCAACCUGCCCAUCACUUGGGGAUAACCUUGCGAAAGUAAGACUAAUACCCAAUGACGUCUCUAGAAGACAUCUGAAGGAGAUUAAAGAUUUAUCGGUGAUGGAUGGGGAUGCGUCUGAUUAGCUUGUUGGCGGGGUAACGGCCCACCAAGGCGACGAUCAGUAGGGGUUCUGAGAGGAAGGUCCCCCACAUUGGAACUGAGACACGGUCCAAACUCCUACGGGAGGCAGCAGUGAGGAAUAUUGGUCAAUGGGCGAGAGCCUGAACCAGCCAAGUAGCGCGCAGGAUGACGGCCCUAUGGGUUGUAAACUGCUUUUAUAAGGGAAUAAAGUGAGUCUCGUGAGACUUUUUGCAUGUACCUUAUGAAUAAGGACCGGCUAAUUCCGUGCCAGCAGCCGCGGUAAUACGGAAGGUCCGGGCGUUAUCCGGAUUUAUUGGGUUUAAAGGGAGCGUAGGCCGGAGAUUAAGCGUGUUGUGAAAUGUAGACGCUCAACGUCUGCACUGCAGCGCGAACUGGUUUCCUUGAGUACGCACAAAGUGGGCGGAAUUCGUGGUGUAGCGGUGAAAUGCUUAGAUAUCACGAAGAACUCCGAUUGCGAAGGCAGCUCACUGGAGCGCAACUGACGCUGAAGCUCGAAAGUGCGGGUAUCGAACAGGAUUAGAUACCCUGGUAGUCCGCACGGUAAACGAUGGAUGCCCGCUGUUGGUCUGAAUAGGUCAGCGGCCAAGCGAAAGCAUUAAGCAUCCCACCUGGGGAGUACGCCGGCAACGGUGAAACUCAAAGGAAUUGACGG